Molecule: ribosomal RNA, 407 nt
Filed under: uncultured bacterium
Lineage: Bacteria
Description: partial 16S ribosomal RNA
Rfam family: Bacterial small subunit ribosomal RNA
Source: RNAcentral
GACGAACGCUGGCGGCGUGCCUAAUACAUGCAAGUCGGACGCGGUUGCGAAAGUGAGAGUAACGCGUAGGUAACUACCUAUUAGAGGGGGGUAACUAAUGGAAACGAUAGCUAAUACCGCAUCCUAGUCGAUGGGCCUGCGUUGGAUUAGCUAGUAGGUAGGGUAAUGGCCUACCUAGGCAAUGAUACAUAGCCGACCUGAGAGGGUGAUCGGCCACACGGGGACUGAGACACGGCCCAGACUCCUACGGGAGGCAGCAGUAGGGAAUCUUCGGCAAUGGGGGGAACCCUGACCGAGCAACGCCGCGUGAGUGAAGAAGGUUUUCGGAUCGUAAAGCUCUGUUGUUAAGGAAGCGGUACUUAACCAGAAAGGGACGGCUAACUACGUGCCAGCCGCCGCGGUAAUAC